RNAcentral lists this ribosomal RNA (875 nucleotides) under Cercophora appalachianensis. RNAcentral describes it as "LSU rRNA". It matches the Rfam family "Eukaryotic large subunit ribosomal RNA", at positions 61 to 959 of the family's 3401-position model. The record is from RNAcentral. Lineage: Eukaryota; Fungi; Ascomycota; Sordariomycetes; Sordariales; Lasiosphaeriaceae.
GAAACCAACAGGGAUUGCCCUAGUAACGGCGAGUGAAGCGGCAACAGCUCAAAUUUGAAAUCUGGCGGCCCCCGCGGCGGCCCGAGUUGUAAUUUGUAGAGGAUGCUUUUGGCGAGGUGCCUUCCGAGUCCCCUGGAACGGGGCGCCAUAGAGGGUGAGAGCCCCGUAUAGUGGGAUGCCUAGCCUGUGUAAAGCUCCUUCGACGAGUCGAGUAGUUUGGGAAUGCUGCUCAAAAUGGGAGGUAAAUUUCCUCUAAAGCUAAAUAUUGGCCAGAGACCGAUAGCGCACAAGUAGAGUGAUCGAAAGAUGAAAAGCACUUUGAAAAGAGGGUUAAACAGCACGUGAAAUUGUUGAAAGGGAAGCGCUUGUGACCAGACUUGCGCCCGGCUGAUCAUCCGGUGUUCUCACCAGUGCACUCUGCCGGGCUCAGGCCAGCAUCGGUUCUCGCGGGGGGAUAAAGGCCUAGGGAACGUAGCUCUUCCGGGAGUGUUAUAGCCCUGGGUGUAACGCCCUCGCGGGGACCGAGGUUCGCGCAUCUGCAAGGAUGCUGGCGUAAUGGUCAUCAGCGACCCGUCUUGAAACACGGACCAAGGAGUCAAGCAGUAGGGCGAGUGUUUGGGUGUCAAACCCGCACGCGUAAUGAAAGUGAACGUAGGUGAGAGCUUCGGCGCAUCAUCGACCGAUCCUGAUGUAUUCGGAUGGAUUUGAGUAGGAGCGUUAAGCCUUGGACCCGAAAGAUGGUGAACUAUGCUUGGAUAGGGUGAAGCCAGAGGAAACUCUGGUGGAGGCUCGAAGCGGUUCUGACGUGGCAAAUCGAUCGUCAAAUCUGAGCAUGGGGGCGAAAGACUAAUCGAACCAUCUAGUAGCUGGUUACC